RNAcentral lists this ribosomal RNA (253 nucleotides) under uncultured bacterium. RNAcentral's name for it is "partial 16S ribosomal RNA". It matches the Rfam family "Bacterial small subunit ribosomal RNA", at positions 524 to 776 of the family's 1533-position model. The record is from RNAcentral.
GACGAACCGUGCAAACGUUGUUCGGAUUCACUGGGCUUAAAGGGCGCGUAGGCGGGCCAUCAAGUCAGGGGUGAAAUCUUUCGGCUCAACCGGAAAAGUGCCUUUGAUACUGGUGGUCUCGAGGGAGGUAGGGGCAUGCGGAACUUCCGGUGGAGCGGUGAAAUUCGUAGAUAUUGGGAGGAACACCGGUGGCGAAGGCGGGUCUCUGGGCCGAUACUGACGCUGAGGAGCGAAAGCGUGGGGAGCGAACAGG